Molecule: ribosomal RNA, 465 nt
Filed under: uncultured bacterium
Lineage: Bacteria
Description: partial 16S ribosomal RNA
Rfam family: Bacterial small subunit ribosomal RNA
Source: RNAcentral
GACGAACGCUGGCGGCGUGCUUAACACAUGCAAGUCGUACGGAAAGGCCCCUUUUGGGGUACUCGAGUGGCGCACGGGUGAGUAACACGUGAGUAACCUGCCCUUGACUUCGGGAUAACUUCAGGAAACUGGGGCUAAUACCGGAUAGGAAUCCUUGCUGCAUGGUGGGGGUUGGAAAGCUUCGGCGGUUUUGGAUGGACUCGCGGCUUAUCAGCUUGUUGGUGGGGUAGUGGCUUACCAAGGCGUUGACGGGUAGCCGGCCUGAGAGGGCGACCGGCCACAUUGGGACUGAGAUACGGCCCAGACUCCUACGGGAGGCAGCAGUGGGGAAUAUUGCACAAUGGGCGGAAGCCUGAUGCAGCAACGCCGCGUGCGGGAUGACGGCCUUCGGGUUGUAAACCGCUUUCAGCAGGGGCGAAGCUUGUGGUGACGGUACCUGCAGAAGAAGCACCGGCUAACUACGUG